Molecule: ribosomal RNA, 404 nt
Filed under: bacterium
Lineage: Bacteria
Description: partial 16S ribosomal RNA
Rfam family: Bacterial small subunit ribosomal RNA
Source: RNAcentral
UGGGGAAUAUUGGACAAUGGGCGAAAGCCUGAUCCAGCCAUGCCGCGUGAGUGAUGAAGGCCCUAGGGUUGUAAAGCUCUUUUAGCGGGGAAGAUAAUGACGGUACCCGCAGAAUAAGCCCCGGCUAACUUCGUGCCAGCAGCCGCGGUAAUACGAAGGGGGCUAGCGUUGAUCGGAAUCACUGGGCGUAAAGGGCGCGUAGGCGGCCAUUCAAGUCGGGGGUGAAAGCCCAGGGCUCAACCCUGGAAUUGCCUUCGAGACAGUUUGGCUAGAGACCGGAAGAGGUAAGUGGAACUGCGAGUGUAGAGGUGAAAUUCGUAGAUAUUCGCAAGAACACCAGUGGCGAAGGCGGCUUACUGGUCCGGUUCUGACGCUGAGGCGCGAAAGCGUGGGGAGCGAACAGG